RNAcentral lists this ribosomal RNA (66 nucleotides) under Coprinopsis phlyctidospora. Its description in RNAcentral is "partial 26S rRNA". The stretch from base 10 to 66 matches the Rfam family "Eukaryotic large subunit ribosomal RNA", at positions 1 to 57 of the family's 3401-position model. Lineage: Eukaryota; Fungi; Basidiomycota; Agaricomycetes; Agaricales; Psathyrellaceae. The record is from RNAcentral.
UGACAAUUUUGACCUCAGAUCAGGUAAGACUACCCGCUGAACUUAAGCAUAUCAAUAAGCGGAGGA